Molecule: ribosomal RNA, 353 nt
Filed under: uncultured soil bacterium
Lineage: Bacteria
Description: bacterial SSU rRNA
Rfam family: Bacterial small subunit ribosomal RNA
Source: RNAcentral
CAGCCGCGGUAAUACAGAGGGUGCAAACGUUGUUCGGAAUUACUGGGCGUAAAGCGCGUGUAGGCUGCUUCGCAAGUCGGGUGUGAAAGCCCUGGGCUCAACCUAGGAAGUGCACUCGAAACUGCGGAGCUGGAGUCCUGGAGAGGAAGGCGGAAUUCUCGGUGUAGAGGUGAAAUUCGUAGAUAUCGAGAGGAACACCGGUGGCGAAGGCGGCCUUCUGGACAGUGACUGACGCUGAGACGCGAAAGCGUGAGGAGCAAACAGGAUUAGAUACCCUGGUAGUCCACGCCGUAAACGAUGGGUGCUAGGUGUCGCGGGCUUUGACCCCUGCGGUGCCGUAGCUAACGCAUUAA